Molecule: long non-coding RNA, 918 nt
Organism: Strigops habroptila (Kakapo)
Lineage: Eukaryota; Metazoa; Chordata; Aves; Psittaciformes; Psittacidae
Exons: 3
Source: RefSeq, a predicted model, not a curated record
UUUUGGAUGGUAUGAAAAUUGCCCCUUAGAGGUGCUAGUCUUUUGCCAGUGUCAGGAAAGGAUCCUUAGAUGACUAACCUAGAUAAGGUGCAGAAUCCUGGGCUUUUGGAUACCAAGUCUGGUUCUGCUUCAGUAAGUCAAACAGUGCUAGGCCUGUGGCUCAGGAAGCAAGAAGUUAUGUUUUGCUGGAAAUAAACAGAUUUCUCUGAGUGGCAAAUGAAACUUGUUUGUCACAGCAGAGGGCAGAGCUGAAGGUCGGAGCAGAAACUCUGGUUGCUGUGACACAUUUUCAUGAGCUGGAUCAUCUCUCUGUGAUUGACAAAGCUGACACUUGCAAGAAAGAGAGUGAAGGUGAAGGGGCAGCAGAUUUCCUCAUGGUUCUGGGGAGAGGGGGGAAGGUAAAAGAGGGACUGAUAGUAAGGCCUCUAAGCAGGAAUUUAACAUCAUAAAAAAAUAAGUAGCUGGCUAAGUGGCAGAGCCCAAGGUUGAGCCCUUAGAGGGGCAGGUAGAGGAACAGAUGCUUUCCAAUGGACUUUAAUCAUCUGCUGCCCUGGUGGCUUUCUCUACCACCUGCUAAGGUUCAGGGCCUUUGUUUUUUAAUAGCAAUGCAAGGGAAUUAAAGAGGUGCAUGGUACCUGGGAAUGAAGGAGUGGUACUUUUGCCAUUAAAACAAAUAUAUGAAGAAGAUAUAUUGCAGCCAGGUUCAUUAUAAGAUGAAACAAUCCAGACUAAAAUCUUGCAGCAGAGUGAAAUGAAUUUCCAGUGUAUCUUAAAAUCAUCAAACGCUGUCUUGAAAGGUCGAUUUCUUUGUGUUUCACAGUGAGACUUGCAUUUCUCCUUCUGGUGAUACAUGUACCUGCCACAAAUUUCUCUCCAUGUUUUUCGCACAGCCUCAGUCCUUUCUAUAUGGGAAAUAGA